ACUCAUAACAAUGUGCUAUGAUGAUGAA
RNAcentral lists this small RNA (28 nucleotides) under Bombyx mori (domestic silkworm). RNAcentral's name for it is "ovarian small RNA-11656". The record is from RNAcentral. Lineage: Eukaryota; Metazoa; Arthropoda; Insecta; Lepidoptera; Bombycidae.